RNAcentral lists this ribosomal RNA (267 nucleotides) under uncultured Syntrophus sp. RNAcentral's name for it is "partial 16S ribosomal RNA". It matches the Rfam family "Bacterial small subunit ribosomal RNA", at positions 1115 to 1382 of the family's 1533-position model. Lineage: Bacteria; Pseudomonadati; Thermodesulfobacteriota; Syntrophia; Syntrophales; Syntrophaceae. The record is from RNAcentral.
UUGCCAUCAUUCAGUUGGGCACUUUAAAGAGACUGCCGGUGGUCAAACCGGAGGAAGGUGGGGAUGACGUCAAGUCCUCAUGGCCUUUAUGCCCAGGGCUACACACGUGCUACAAUGGGCGGUACAAAGAGCAGCUAACUCGCGAGAGUAUGCAAAUCUCAAAAAACCGUCCUCAGUUCGGAUUGGAGUCUGCAACUCGACUCCAUGAAGCCGGAAUCGCUAGUAAUCGCGGAUCAGCAUGCCGCGGUGAAUACGUUCCCGGGCCUU